This 40-nucleotide ribosomal RNA is filed under the name Ciona intestinalis (vase tunicate). Its description in RNAcentral is "partial 18S ribosomal RNA". Lineage: Eukaryota; Metazoa; Chordata; Ascidiacea; Phlebobranchia; Cionidae. The record is from RNAcentral.
GGUUUCCGUAGGUGAACCUGCGGAAGGAUCAUUAACGUAU